CCUACGGGAGGCAGCAGUGGGGAAUAUUGCGCAAUGGGCGCAAGCCUGACCCAGCAACGCCGCGUGAAGGAAGAAGGCCCUCGGGUUGUAAACUUCUAUUGUCAGGGACGAAACAAAUGACGGUACCUGACGAAUAAGCCACGGAUAACUACGUGCCAGCAGCGGCGGUAAUAAGGAGGUGGCAAGCGUUAUGCGGAUUUACUGGGUGAAAAGGGCGUGGAGGCGGGAGAGCAAGUGAGAGGUGAAAUUCCAGGGCUCAACCCUUGAACUGGAUUUGAAACUGUUUGUCUUGAGUGAUGGAGAGGCAGGCGGAAUUCCGUGUGUAGCGGUGACAGGCGUAGAUAUACGGAGGAACACCAGUGGCGAAGGCGGCCUGCUGGACAUUAACUGACGCUGAGGCGCGAAAGCGUGGGGAGCAAACAGGAUUAGAUACCCGGGUAGUC
Molecule: ribosomal RNA, 443 nt
Filed under: uncultured bacterium
Lineage: Bacteria
Description: partial 16S ribosomal RNA
Rfam family: Bacterial small subunit ribosomal RNA
Source: RNAcentral